RNAcentral lists this ribosomal RNA (371 nucleotides) under uncultured bacterium. RNAcentral's name for it is "bacterial SSU rRNA". It matches the Rfam family "Bacterial small subunit ribosomal RNA", at positions 28 to 400 of the family's 1533-position model. The record is from RNAcentral.
GACGAACGCUGGCGGCGUGCUUAACACAUGCAAGUCGAGCGGUAAGGCCCUUUCGGGGGUACACGAGCGGCGAACGGGUGAGUAACACGUGGGUGACCUGCCCUCAGCUCUGGGAUAAGCCUGGGAAACUGGGUCUAAUACUGGAUAUGACUCCACGGUGCAUGUCGUGGGGUGGAAAGCCUUGUGCGGCUGAGGAUGGGCCCGCGGCCUAUCAGCUUGUUGGUGGGGUGAUGGCCUACCAAGGCGACGACGGGUAGCCGGCCUGAGAGGGCGACCGGCCACACUGGGACUGAGACACGGCCCAGACUCCUACGGGAGGCAGCAGUGGGGAAUCUUGCGCAAUGGGCGAAAGCCUGACGCAGCGACGCCGC